RNAcentral lists this ribosomal RNA (484 nucleotides) under uncultured bacterium. RNAcentral describes it as "partial 16S ribosomal RNA". It matches the Rfam family "Bacterial small subunit ribosomal RNA", at positions 29 to 507 of the family's 1533-position model. The record is from RNAcentral.
AUUGAACGCUGGCGGCAUGCUUUACACAUGCAAGUCGAACGGCAGCACGGGGGCAACCCUGGUGGCGAUUGGCGAACGGUUGAGUAAUACAUCGGAACUUGCCCGGUCGUGCGGGAUAACGUACCGAUAGUUACUCUUAUACCCCAUACGAUCUGUGGAUGCAUUCGGGGGACCUUCCGGCCUCGCGCCCUCUUAGCGGCCUAUGUCAGAUUCGGUAGUUGGUGGGGUAACGGCAUAACAAGCCGGCGCUCUGUAGCUGGUCUGAGAGGACGACCAGCCACACGGGGAGUGAGAAAGGGCACAGACACCUAGGGGAGGAAGCAGUGGGGAAUGUUGGACAAGGGGGGAGAGCGUGAUACAGCAAUUCCGCGGGCAGGACGAAGGAGUUAGGGUGGGAAAGUGCUGUUGUAUGGAAGGAAAAGGCGCUGGCUAAUACCUGGGGAUCAUGACGGUACCGGAAGAAUAAGCACCGGCUAACUACGUG